UACGUAGGCAGCGAGCGUUUGUUCGGAGUUACUGGGCGUAAAGGGUGUGUAGGCGGUUCUUUUAAGUUUGGUGUGAAAUCUCCCGGCUCAACCGGGAGGGUGCGCCGAAUACUGAGGGACUCGAGUGCGGGAGAGGAAAGUGGAAUUCCUGGUGUAGCGGUGAAAAUGCGCAGAUAUCAGGAGGAACACCGGUGGCGAAGGCGGGUCUCUGGGCCGUAACUGACGCUGAGGAGCGAAAAGCGUGGGGGAGCGAACAGG
Molecule: ribosomal RNA, 258 nt
Filed under: uncultured bacterium
Lineage: Bacteria
Description: partial 16S ribosomal RNA
Rfam family: Bacterial small subunit ribosomal RNA
Source: RNAcentral